RNAcentral lists this ribosomal RNA (119 nucleotides) under Pteropus alecto (black flying fox). Lineage: Eukaryota; Metazoa; Chordata; Mammalia; Chiroptera; Pteropodidae. The record is from RNAcentral.
AUCUAUGGCCAUGCCACCCUGAACAUGCCCGAUCUUGUCUGAUCUCGGAAGCUAAGCAGGGUCGGGCCUGGUUAGUACUUGGAUGGAAGACCAUCUAGGAACACCAGGUGCUAUAGAUG